RNAcentral lists this long non-coding RNA (516 nucleotides) under Homo sapiens (human). RNAcentral's name for it is "lncAB95.1". The record is from RNAcentral. Lineage: Eukaryota; Metazoa; Chordata; Mammalia; Primates; Hominidae.
GUCUAGGGUGGAGAGUUGGUGGCCCUGGUGAGCCCCAAUGACUGGACACAGGACACAGAUGAGCUGCCUAUCUUCCUGGCAAUAGGUACUCAAAUCAAGCCCAUGGUCCGGACACUUCCUCUUGGCCACUCUCUCUGCUUCCAUUUCUAUUUCUGGGUCAAAUUCACUUUCUGCCUCAGUUUCUCCCUCCGCCUCGGAUUCCCCUUCUUCUUGGUUGUCUUCUUCGGCCUCGCUUUCUUGCUCAUCCUCCAUUUCUUCCUCGCUGUCUUCUUCACUCUCCUCAUCGCUCUCAUCCUCACUCUCUUCCUCUGUCUCGCUCUCUUCCUCUGACUCGCUCUCUUCCUCCGACUCACUCUCUUCCCCUGCCUCGCUUUCUAUCUCCCUCUCCUGCUCCACCUUGACCUCCGCUUCUUCCUUCCCCGCCCCCUCUCCGUCAGCUGGCGGGGUCCAGGCCUGGGAGCCGUGGACGUAUUCGGCCAGAUGGUGACUGAGGAACUUCUGCCUGUGCGCCUCGGC